Molecule: ribosomal RNA, 108 nt
Filed under: Castor canadensis (American beaver)
Lineage: Eukaryota; Metazoa; Chordata; Mammalia; Rodentia; Castoridae
Source: RNAcentral
GUCUUCAACCAUAGCACCCUGAACAUACCCGAUUUCCUCUGAUCUUGGAAGCUAGGCAGGGUGAGGCCUGGUACGUACUUGGAUGGGAGAUCCCUGGAUUUUCAGUCC